AUGCGCUCCGACGAGCUCCCCGUCGACUCCGCCGGAGUGGAGCUGCAGCUCUUUCACGGGCACAACGACGGCGACGGCAGCGCCAGGUUCGUGGACGAGGAAGCCUGGGCAGAGUCAUCAUCGGCGACGGCUCUGGAUGUGGCGAAGCGGGCGGCGGUGGGAGUGGGCGCGCGGGUGCUCUUCUACCCGAAGCUGGCCUACAAGCUGGUGGCCGGCCGGUCGGCUCCGGGUAAAGCCUCGGAGGAGUCGUCGUCAUCGUCAUCGGCGACGACUCUAGACGCCGCGAAGCAAGCGGCGGUGGGCGUGGGCGCGCGGGCGCUCUUCUACCCGACGCUCGCCUACAGCCUGGCCCGGAACCGCCUCUCGCCGGCCGGCUUCAAGUGGUGGCACAAGAUCACGGACACCCACAUGCUCCUCGGCGCUGUCCCGUUCCCGAGCGACGUGCCGCGCCUCCGCGCCCUGGGCGUCACCGCCGUGGUCACGCUCACCGAGCCCUACGAGCGGCUCGUCGACGCGAAGCUGUACAAGGCCCACGGCAUGGAGAACCUGGUGCUGCCCACCACGGACUACCUCUACGCGCCGUCGCAGAAGGACCUCCGCGACGCCACGGCGUUCAUCCACGGCAAGGAGGGCGGCGGGCUGACCUACGUGCAUUGCAAGGCCGGGCGCGCGCGCAGCGCCACGGUGGUGAUGUGCUACCUGGUGCGGUACAAGGGGAUGACGACGAAGCAGGCGUACGAUCACGUGCGGUCGUGCCGGUCCAGGGUGUCGCUGGCUCCGGCGCAGUGGCAGGCGGUCCAGGACUUCGAGGACUUCUACCGGCGGCCGGCCGGUAGCUCGGAGUGA
This 846-nucleotide ribosomal RNA is filed under the name Triticum aestivum (bread wheat). RNAcentral describes it as "partial small subunit ribosomal RNA". The record is from RNAcentral. Lineage: Eukaryota; Viridiplantae; Streptophyta; Magnoliopsida; Poales; Poaceae.